Molecule: non-coding RNA, 116 nt
Organism: Pteropus alecto (black flying fox)
Lineage: Eukaryota; Metazoa; Chordata; Mammalia; Chiroptera; Pteropodidae
Source: Rfam
GUCUAUGGCCAUGCCGCCCUGAACAAGCCCGAUGUGUGAUCUCGGAAGCUAAGCAAGGUUGGGCCUGGUUAGUACUUGGAUGGGAGAUCACCUGGGAAGACCAGGUGCUGUAGGGU